CCCCUAGAUGUUCUGGGCCGCACGCGCGCUACACUGAACAGUUCAACAAGUCUUAACCUUGGCCGAUAGGUCUGGGUAAUCUUUGAACGCUGUUCGUGAUUGGGAUAGACCUUUGCAAUUAUGGGUCUUCAACGAGGAAUUCCUAGUAAACGCAAGUCAUCAGCUUGCAUUGAUUACGUCCCUGCCCUUUGUACACACCGCCCGUCGCACCUACCGAUUGAAUGGUCCGGUGAAAUCUCGGGACGGCGGCUCGGUCGCUUGCGUCCGACUGCUGAAACUUGAUUAAACCAUAUCAUUUAGAGGAAGGCGAAGUCGUAACA
RNAcentral lists this ribosomal RNA (320 nucleotides) under uncultured eukaryote. RNAcentral's name for it is "partial 18S ribosomal RNA". It matches the Rfam family "Eukaryotic small subunit ribosomal RNA", at positions 1470 to 1796 of the family's 1831-position model. The record is from RNAcentral.